UGAAGGCAAUUUUUGGUUCACAAGAUCUAUGAGAAAUUGUGACCAAAGGCUAUGGAGAGCGCGAAGAUGAAGAUUCGUUAUCACAGCACAAAAGGAAGCUUUGAGUGCCACAAGAAAGAAAGAUCAAAAAGCAGUCAUUAUCAUUCAUCAAUGUUUGGAUGAUGCAAUUGUAAGACCCCGAAUUUUAUGAAAUAAAAGUAUUCAAUUUUUC
This 211-nucleotide long non-coding RNA is filed under the name Panax ginseng (ginseng). RNAcentral's name for it is "long non-coding RNA (PGIN_LNC017778)". Lineage: Eukaryota; Viridiplantae; Streptophyta; Magnoliopsida; Apiales; Araliaceae. The record is from RNAcentral.